This 522-nucleotide ribosomal RNA is filed under the name Triticum aestivum (bread wheat). RNAcentral's name for it is "partial small subunit ribosomal RNA". Lineage: Eukaryota; Viridiplantae; Streptophyta; Magnoliopsida; Poales; Poaceae. The record is from RNAcentral.
AUGGAGGCCUCCUUCGUCCCUGCAUCCCCACCUCGCCGCCAGCGUCAGAGCCACGGGGUGGUCAUUCGCUCCAGGGCAAUGGAGCAUGCUCACUUCGUCCUCAAGCACCACGCCGUGCUUCUGACGGCCACCGACAGCUUCAACGCCGCCAACCCGAUGUUGGUGGGUCGCACCAUCGAGGCUCUACUACGCAUUGGUCCACACCUGCUGCGUGUCACUCGUCACCACCCUGAAGAUUUCCUAGUCCACUUCGACGUCCCCGCCGACCGCGACGCUCUCAUGUGCCACAACACCAUCAAUGUCGACGGGGUGCCCUUCCGGACCAAGCCCUGGAGGCCGGACGACCAUGCUGUUCGCCAGAAAUGGGUGCUGCAUGUCUGUAUCGUAAUUGAGCGGCUGCCCCUGGACAUGUGGACGCUGGAGGGCGCGGAGGAGGUGCUCGGCCGUUUCUGCAUCAUUAACAAGCUUGACAGCCACACCACCAAGCGCGGAGACACUCGCACCUUCGCUUGCUGGGCGUGG